GAUGAAGAACGCAGCGAAAUGCGAUAAGUAAUGUGAAUUGCAGAAUUCAGUGAAUCAUCGAAUCUUUGAACGCACAUUGCGCCCCUUGGUAUUCCGAGGGGCAUGCCUGUUCGAGCGUCAUUAUAACCCCUCAAGCUCAGCUUGGUGUUGGGGCCUGCUGCACUGGCAGCCCUUAAAAUCAGUGGCGGCGCCAUCUGGCUCUAAGCGUAGUAAUUCUUCUCGCUAUGGAGUCCUGGUGGAUGCUUGCCAUCAACCCCCAAUUUUUCUAUGGUUGACCUCGGAUCAGGUAGGGAUACCCGCUGAACUUAAGCAUAUCAAUGAGCGGAGGA
Molecule: unclassified non-coding RNA, 329 nt
Filed under: soil metagenome
Description: partial contains 5.8S ribosomal RNA, internal transcribed spacer 2, and large subunit ribosomal RNA
Rfam family: 5.8S ribosomal RNA (bases 1-120)
Source: RNAcentral